RNAcentral lists this ribosomal RNA (253 nucleotides) under uncultured bacterium. RNAcentral describes it as "partial 16S ribosomal RNA". It matches the Rfam family "Bacterial small subunit ribosomal RNA", at positions 524 to 776 of the family's 1533-position model. The record is from RNAcentral.
UACGGGGGGGGCAAGCGUUGUUCGGAAUUACUGGGCGUAAAGGGCGCGUAGGCGGCCUGUUAAGUCGAACGUGAAAUCCCCGGGCUCAACCCGGGAACUGCGUCCGAUACUGGCAGGCUUGAAUUCGGGAGAGGGAUGUGGAAUUCCAGGUGUAGCGGUGAAAUGCGUAGAUAUCUGGAGGAACACCGGUGGCGAAGGCGGCAUCCCGGACCGAUAUUGACGCUGAUGCGCGAAAGCCAGGGGAGCAAACGGG